UAAGGGCGCACGGUGGAUGCCUUGGCACUAGAAGCCGAUGAAGGACGUUACUAACGACGAUAUGCUUUGGGGAGCUGUAAGUAAGCUUUGAUCCAGAGAUUUCCGAAUGGGGAAACCCAGCAUGAGUUAUGUCAUGUUAUCGAUAUGUGAAUACAUAGCAUAUCAGAAGGCACACCCGGAGAACUGAAACAUCUUAGUACCCGGAGGAAGAGAAAGAAAAUUCGAUUCCCUUAGUAGCGGCGAGCGAAACGGGAAGAGCCCAAACCAACAAGCUUGCUUGUUGGGGUUGUAGGACACUCUAUACGGAGUUACAAAGGACGACAUUAGACGAAUCAUCUGGAAAGAUGAAUCAAAGAAGGUAAUAAUCCUGUAGUCGAAAAUGUUGUCUCUCUUGAGUGGAUCCUGAGUACGACGGAGCACGUGAAAUUCCGUCGGAAUCUGGGAGGACCAUCUCCUAAGGCUAAAUACUCUCUAGUGACCGAUAGUGAACCAGUACCGUGAGGGAAAGGUGAAAAGCACCCCGGAAGGGGAGUGAAAUAGAACCUGAAACCGUGUGCUUACAAGUAGUCAGAGCCCGUUAAUGGGUGAUGGCGUGCCUUUUGUAGAAUGAACCGGCGAGUUACGAUUUGAUGCAAGGUUAAGCAGUAAAUGUGGAGCCGUAGCGAAAGCGAGUCUGAAUAGGGCGUUUAGUAUUUGGUCGUAGACCCGAAACCAGGUGAUCUACCCUUGGUCAGGUUGAAGUUCAGGUAACACUGAAUGGAGGACCGAACCGACUUACGUUGAAAAGUGAGCGGAUGAACUGAGGGUAGCGGAGAAAUUCCAAUCGAACCUGGAGAUAGCUGGUUCUCUCCGAAAUAGCUUUAGGGCUAGCCUCAAGUGAUGAUUAUUGGAGGUAGAGCACUGUUUGGACGAGGGGCCCCUCUCGGGUUACCGAAUUCAGACAAACUCCGAAUGCCAAUUAAUUUAACUUGGGAGUCAGAACAUGGGUGAUAAGGUCCGUGUUCGAAAGGGAAACAGCCCAGACCACCAGCUAAGGUCCCAAAAUAUAUGUUAAGUGGAAAAGGAUGUGGCGUUGCCCAGACAACUAGGAUGUUGGCUUAGAAGCAGCCAUCAUUUAAAGAGUGCGUAAUAGCUCACUAGUCGAGUGACACUGCGCCGAAAAUGUACCGGGGCUAAACAUAUUACCGAAGCUGUGGAUUGUCCUUUGGACAAUGGUAGGAGAGCGUUCUAAGGGCGUUGAAGCAUGAUCGUAAGGACAUGUGGAGCGCUUAGAAGUGAGAAUGCCGGUGUGAGUAGCGAAAGACGGGUGAGAAUCCCGUCCACCGAUUGACUAAGGUUUCCAGAGGAAGGCUCGUCCGCUCUGGGUUAGUCGGGUCCUAAGCUGAGGCCGACAGGCGUAGGCGAUGGAUAACAGGUUGAUAUUCCUGUACCACCUAUAAUCGUUUUAAUCGAUGGGGGGACGCAGUAGGAUAGGCGAAGCGUGCGAUUGGAUUGCACGUCUAAGCAGUAAGGCUGAGUAUUAGGCAAAUCCGGUACUCAUUAAGGCUGAGCUGUGAUGGGGAGAAGACAUUGUGUCUUCGAGUCGUUGAUUUCACACUGCCGAGAAAAGCCUCUAGAUAGAAAAUAGGUGCCCGUACCGCAAACCGACACAGGUAGUCAAGAUGAGAAUUCUAAGGUGAGCGAGCGAACUCUCGUUAAGGAACUCGGCAAAAUGACCCCGUAACUUCGGGAGAAGGGGUGCUCUUUAGGGUUAACGCCCAGAAGAGCCGCAGUGAAUAGGCCCAAGCGACUGUUUAUCAAAAACACAGGUCUCUGCUAAACCGUAAGGUGAUGUAUAGGGGCUGACGCCUGCCCGGUGCUGGAAGGUUAAGAGGAGUGGUUAGCUUCUGCGAAGCUACGAAUCGAAGCCCCAGUAAACGGCGGCCGUAACUAUAACGGUCCUAAGGUAGCGAAAUUCCUUGUCGGGUAAGUUCCGACCCGCACGAAAGGCGUAACGAUUUGGGCACUGUCUCAACGAGAGACUCGGUGAAAUCAUAGUACCUGUGAAGAUGCAGGUUACCCGCGACAGGACGGAAAGACCCCGUGGAGCUUUACUGUAGCCUGAUAUUGAAAUUCGGCACAGCUUGUACAGGAUAGGUAGGAGCCUUUGAAACGUGAGCGCUAGCUUACGUGGAGGCGCUGGUGGGAUACUACCCUAGCUGUGUUGGCUUUCUAACCCGCACCACUUAUCGUGGUGGGAGACAGUGUCAGGCGGGCAGUUUGACUGGGGCGGUCGCCUCCUAAAAGGUAACGGAGGCGCUCAAAGGUUCCCUCAGAAUGGUUGGAAAUCAUUCAUAGAGUGUAAAGGCAUAAGGGAGCUUGACUGCGAGACCUACAAGUCGAGCAGGGUCGAAAGACGGACUUAGUGAUCCGGUGGUUCCGCAUGGAAGGGCCAUCGCUCAACGGAUAAAAGCUACCCCGGGGAUAACAGGCUUAUCUCCCCCAAGAGUUCACAUCGACGGGGAGGUUUGGCACCUCGAUGUCGGCUCAUCGCAUCCUGGGGCUGUAGUCGGUCCCAAGGGUUGGGCUGUUCGCCCAUUAAAGCGGUACGCGAGCUGGGUUCAGAACGUCGUGAGACAGUUCGGUCCCUAUCCGUCGUGGGCGUAGGAAAUUUGAGAGGAGCUGUCCUUAGUACGAGAGGACCGGGAUGGACAUACCUCUGGUGUACCAGUUGUCGUGCCAACGGCAUAGCUGGGUAGCUAUGUGUGGACGGGAUAAGUGCUGAAAGCAUCUAAGCAUGAAGCCCCCCUC
Molecule: ribosomal RNA, 2790 nt
Filed under: Staphylococcus aureus
Lineage: Bacteria; Bacillati; Bacillota; Bacilli; Caryophanales; Staphylococcaceae
Description: partial 23S ribosomal RNA
Rfam family: Bacterial large subunit ribosomal RNA
Source: RNAcentral